UAAAUCGGUCAAAACCGCACCGCUAACACUUCGGGAUAGUAGUGAACUUAAUAAUCAUGUAAACCGGGUUUGGUUCAUUGCAACCCGCUCAACCAUUCAACUAAACGGUUCAUGUUUCGUUGAACCGGAAGUAACCCAUUCAGAGGAAGGUUCAUGGAGUUCGAUUCCAUAGCUGAUGGAGAAACUCAUAAUCACUUUAUCGAUAUCAAAUCACAGUGAGAGACAUGGUUUUGGUUGAUAGUGUCUGUGCAAUUGUUGUAAAGGGUCAUUGGAACAAUCUCUUAAAACCCAAAAUCGCUUCUACUCUCACUUCCACCACCAUUCACCAAUGUAUCUUGCACCUCACACAACACCGUUACGAACCUUUUUUCAUCUUCUCAUUCUUCAAAUGGCUUCAUUCCAUCCCACACUACACUCAUUCCUUACAAUCUUCAUGGUCCAUGCUUCACAUACUCACCAAACACAGACAUUUCAAAACUGCACACCAGGUGCUUGAUAAAAUUGCGCAAAGGGAAAUACUUUCAUCGCCUUCAGUUUUGACCUCUUUGGUCAGGAUUCAUGAUGACCCUGAAGUUAAUUCACAUGUUUUGAGUUGGAUUGUGAUACAUUAUGCGAAAUCGAAGAUGACCCAUGAUGCGGUUCAGGUUUUUGAGCAGAUGAGUUUGUGUAAUUUAAAGCCUCAUUUGCAUGCUUGUACUGUGCUUUUGAACUCCUUGUUGAAAAAUGGUGUUACUAAUAUGGUGUGGAAGGCUUAUAAGAGAAUGGUUCAAGACGGGGUUGUUCCUAAUAUCUAUAUUUAUAAUUGUUUAAUUCACGCUUGUUUGAAAUCGAGAGAUGCGGAGAGGGCGGAAAUUAUACUGAAUGAGAUGGAAGGAAAGUGUGUGGUUCCUGAUAUUUUCACAUACAAUACUUUGAUAGCUUUGUAUUGCAAAAAAGGGAUGCACUAUGAGGCUUUGUCGGUGCAGGAUAAAAUGGAAAGAGAGGGGAUAAAUCUUGAUAUUGUUAGUUACAAUUCUCUUAUUUAUGGAUUUUGCAAAGAAGGUAAGAUGAGGGAAGCUAUGAGGAUGUUCGGUGAAAUCAAAAUUGCCACUCCCAAUCUUGUAACAUAUACUACAUUGAUUGAUGGUUAUUGUAAAACAAAUGAACUGGAGAAAGCUCUGAGAUUGCGUGAGAUGAUGGAGGCUAAGGGAUUGUACCCCGGUGUUGUUACUUAUAAUUCGAUUCUGCGCAAGCUGUGUUCUGAUGGCAGGAUAAGGGAUGCGAACAAACUCUUGAAUGAGAUGAGUGAAAAAAAAAUUCAAGCUGAUAAUAUCACGUGCAACACACUGAUUAAUGCAUAUUGCAAGAUAGGAGAUUUGAGUUCUGCUUUGAAAGUUAAAAAUAAGAUGUUAGAAGCUGGACUGAAGCCUGAUCCCUUUACAUAUAAAGCACUGAUUUACGGGUUCUGUAAAACGAGCGAGCUUGAAAGUGCCAAAGAACUAUUGUUUGGCAUGCUUGAUGCUGGAUUUUCUCCAAGUUAUUGCACUUACUCAUGGAUUGUAGAUGGCUAUUGUAAGAAAAACAAUACAGAUGCAGUUCUAGCACUGCCGGAUGAGUUUCUGAGUAAAGGUAUUUGUCUUGAUGUUUCUGUUUACAGGGCAUUGAUAAGAAGGUUAAGCAAGAUAGAAAGGAUUGAAUGUGCUGAAAAGUUGUUAGUUCAUAUGGAAGGGAAGGGUAUUUCAGGCGAUAGUGUUAUCUACACUAGUGUUGCUUUUGCUUACUGGAAAUCAGGGGACACAAAUGCUGCCUCAAAUGUGUUAGAAGAAAUGGCUAGGAGGAGGUUGAUGAUCACUGCCAAAAUCUAUAGAUGCUUUAGUGCUCCUGAUGCUAGUGAAAACAAAGUUUCACAGAUGUUCUGGGAUCAUGUGGUGGAAAGGGGUCUGAUGUCAAGAAAUACAAUGAACCCUAAAAACCAGUAAAAGAAAGUGGGAGCUGAAAAUGGAGAAAUCCUGUUAUAUUGUGGGUUUAGAUUGGGUGCUGCAAAUGGAGAAGUCGUGUUAUAGUGUGGUAACUCAACCAGAAGAUAUUAGAAGAACGAGAUGGAGGGUCAUGGUCACAUGGAGUCUGAUUUCACAACUGAGGGAAAGCUCUGCCAUAUGCCAUCGUUGCCAAUUUUAAAAUAAUGACACCUUCAUCCACAUGCAGAAAG
RNA transcript from Lathyrus oleraceus (garden pea), 2188 nucleotides. It is a transcript of the gene named pentatricopeptide repeat-containing protein At5g38730, with no coding region annotated. The record is from RefSeq and is a predicted model, not a curated record. The transcript is spliced from 3 exons. NCBI's taxonomy places the organism in Eukaryota, Viridiplantae, Streptophyta, Magnoliopsida, Fabales, Fabaceae.